GUAGAGUAAAUACCGCGCGUCAAGUGCCAUGGGAUGGGAUGUUGCCCAUGGACGAAGAUCCGGCGGCAGACGAUUUUUUUGUCUUUACCGGAUCGCGGUGCGGUGUUGCGUCCGCUGC
This 118-nucleotide non-coding RNA is filed under the name human gut metagenome. Its description in RNAcentral is "THF riboswitch". It matches the Rfam family "THF (Tetrahydrofolate) riboswitch aptamer". Rfam says of the family: THF riboswitch presents a pseudoknot that joins P1-P2 and the loop of P3 and two THF binding. The record is from RNAcentral.